UAUGCAGCUAAAAUAAAGAUGGAUAAAACCUAAGUAGAAUAAUAAUCAAAGUUCAGUGAUGGAGGUUUUUAGUUUUCCCUUCUUUGUUUGUUUUUUUUUUUUUUUUAACCUCAGUGCUGGAAGCACUUUCUGACAUGUCAAACCAAACAAAACAGCAAAGUAAUUAUUCAUCGAAUCUUAGAGGCUCAGCAGCAUGAGACACACUCCAGCCGAUUCUUGGUGAAAAAAUAUAUUUAAGUCAAGCUUGUGUUUCCAUCUGGUCCAAAAAUUAUAAAACUACAAAAAUCUAAAUAUAUAUGCAUUUAAUUUUUUCUGUUCAGUAACUCUGUGAACAUCCAUCAGUGAUAUGAGUGUCUCUGUGAUGCUGUGAGAAUACAGCAGUGCGAGUCAGGUUAUUUUGUAUUAAUGGUGUAAAUUUGUAAAGCAGGAGCAGCUCCUGUAACACACAGGUGCUGUCAUGUCGAGUUAGUUUGUCACAAACCGUUUUUGUGGAUUUGGUGUUUAAAACAGCAAAAGGACAAAAGAUGGGAAUUUAGAUCAACCACAGUGAUGAUACUCAUGAAGAAGCAAGACAGCAGAGUGUCAGUGUGGCACCGACUCAUUUUGUCAGAAUAGGUGUUUUAUGUGUGUUUGGACAUGAACGUUUAAGCUCUUAAAUGUGUUUAAAAAACACAUUUUAAAUGAUCCUAUAGGAUACAUGUUAACAAAUAAGAAAAUCUUUUUCUCAAAACAUCAUUUUAGUGUUUAUUCAGAGUAGACAGUAACACCAGCAGAAUCACGGUCGUCUGUCUCUGUGAAGAUUCAUGUUUCCACAUUUUUAGCAUCACGGGUCUUCUAUCAGUUUUGCUGCAGCUGUAUUGUUGUGAUGAACCUAUAAAGUGUAAAGAGAAAUAAAAAAAUGUAAACGAAUUGCCACAUAUUCUCUGUUCUCGUCAGUGCUGUUCCAGAUUAAAUGCUGUUGUUCGACAUUAUAAAAGCUGUGCUGAUGGUGUUUUACCUCUGUGGCAUUUCCAGCAUGAGUAGCAUUAUUUGGAUGAAGAUGCAAGGUCUUGUUCUGAAAUGUGUUGGAUUACAUUAGUUACAGAUCUUUAAACUCAAUUAAUGAAAUAUGACUUGCUCAAAUAAUUUUAUACAUCAUUGACGUGUAUGAACAGAUUUAAAGAUAAGGCAGUGCUAAUUAAAAUUGUUCUCCAUUUUUUAAAGUCAUGUUCCUGUACAGCUCUGUUGCUCCAGGCAGUCGGGUUGAGCAGUUGCACAGAUCUUUUUUUUUUAAAAAAAAAACCUAUCAGCUCAUCUGUGGCUGGGACUGUCAGCUUUAUUGUUCUUAUGUUUUUCUCUGAGUGACACUACACUGAUAGUAAAAACUAUUCAAAUGGGGUUUUUUGACUGACCAAAAACCAAUCUUUUUGCAACAAAAACUUUACAGAGUCUAGAAACUGUAGCUCGACUCGUGCUGGCUGUAGCUCAGGAGAUAGAGCAGGUCAUCGGCUAAUUGAGAGUGGAUUGAGAGUCUAUCUUAGCUGUCAUUAAGCAAAGGGCAGAGUACACUCUCAAGACAUCAUCAGCCUGUCACAGACAACCAUUCAUGCUAACAUUCACACCUACGGCCAAAUCCAUCCAUCCAUCCUCAUCCGCUUUAUCCGAGAUCGGGUCGCGGGGCAGCAGCCUAAGCAGAGAAGCCCAGACCUCCCUCUCCCCAGCCACCUCCUCCAGCUCAUCCGGGGAACACCAAGGCGUUCCCAGACCAGCCGAGAGAUAUAAUCUCUCCAGCGCGUCCUGGGUCUGCCCUGGG
Oreochromis aureus is the source of this 1792-nucleotide long non-coding RNA. The record is from Ensembl. Lineage: Eukaryota; Metazoa; Chordata; Actinopteri; Cichliformes; Cichlidae.